GGUGGCUCAGUGGUAGAGCGCUUGCCAUGCAUGAGGCCCUGGGUUCGAUUCCCCAGCACCA
Molecule: transfer RNA, 61 nt
Filed under: Dipodomys ordii (Ord's kangaroo rat)
Lineage: Eukaryota; Metazoa; Chordata; Mammalia; Rodentia; Heteromyidae
Rfam family: tRNA
About the family: Transfer RNA (tRNA) molecules are approximately 80 nucleotides in length.
Source: Rfam by way of RNAcentral